UGCGGCGCAUUUAGCUUGUUGGCGGGGUGACGGCCCACCAAGGCGACGAUUGCGUAGGGGUUCUGAGAGGAAGGUCCCCCCACACUGGUACUGAGACACGGACCAGACUCCUACGGGAGGCAGCAGUGAGGAAUAUUGGUCAAUGGGCGGCGGCCUGAACCAGCCAAGUCGCGUGGGGAGGAAGGUCCUAUGGAUUGUAAACCCCUUUAGCCGGGGAGUAACGGGCGGGUCGCGACCCGCCGUGAGAGUACCCCGGAGAAUAAGCAUCGGCUAACUCCGUGCC
RNAcentral lists this ribosomal RNA (283 nucleotides) under uncultured bacterium. RNAcentral's name for it is "partial 16S ribosomal RNA". It matches the Rfam family "Bacterial small subunit ribosomal RNA", at positions 232 to 509 of the family's 1533-position model. The record is from RNAcentral.